CUGAGAGGUAUUGCAUUUCGAUUAAAUGUACUGAUUUCUACAUAUACUGAUCAUGGAUCUUCUGUGGCGUGCAGCAAUUCUCAAUCUUGUGAGCAGUGGUCUGUCAGUCAUCGGCGGAAUUCUUAUUUUUAUCGAAUACAGCAUUAAUUUCCAACACAAUCGACUAGCCACGAUGUUCGUGUUCAUGACGAUUGGUGACGUUAUGUAUGCCGCUGGUUACAUUGUGGGGAAUAUGAGAUAUCAUGACCUGUGUGUACAUGUGGAAACCAACGCCUAUGUGAUUGGUACUGAUUGCAAAUGCAAUACAGUGUCAGAUGAUGCCAGCAGCGGCCUGCUCUGCAAGGGUGAAAGCUUUGUUACGACGUACGCAAGUCUGGUGUCGUUUACUUGGACCUGUACUUUACUUAUCACUUUAUAUUUAUACUACAGAGGCCAUGACAGACCAUCACGGUUAAGGGAGUGGAUUAUGCACAUUGUCGGAUGGAUUUUGCCAGAUCUCUCUCUCUCUCUCUCUCUCUCUCUCUCUUGUUUUAACCAUAACAAAUCGGUACAUGAAAUGAUCAAAUAAAUGAAUGGAGUAACUGUUUACAGGUGUACUUGUCAUUAUCGCUGUAUCAGUCGGAGCCCUGGGUGAAGACAAAGGAGAUUAUGGCGUUCCAUGGUGCUGGGUGCGGAACGUUACUUCCAAAGACGAAAAAAUUUUGUGGAUGCUUUUGGCGGGGAAAUUCUGGGAAAUUUUGACCUACAUCAUUACGUUCGUCAUAUUUGUCCUCUGCAUGAAACAUACAAGUUGUAACAGAAUUAAAGCAGAUAAGGAACAUGUAGAUGACCAGUCAUUGAGGAUCCAGAGAUUUCCCUAUGCGUGUAUAAUUUUGUUGAGCGUCCGUUGCUUCGGCACAGUCCGUUUUUUCUUGUAUGUGUUUGAUGUGCAAGUUAGCGAUACAUCACAUGAAUGGUUGUUGAAUUUACAAAGUAUUGGAGAUGGCAGUUUGGCGUUUGUGAAUUUUGUAUUCUAUUUGUUCACUAACCCCCCUGUCGUACGAGAAUAUUGGGGGCGAAUCCGAUGCUGCAAAAGGGAAAGAAUUGUUUGUCAGAGUUGAAUAGAAAGAUGGCAUACCACUUCUUUUGCCAUAACGCCGUACGUUAUAGAAAGGAAAGACUGAAAUUUUCGGGUAUCAAGAGCCCGUUAAGCACCCCCUGGAAUUACAUUUGGACUGGGGAUUGAUUGAAUUUAACAUUCGAUUUGUGAUAGUUUAUAUUCUCGGGCGGUAAUCCGCAUCGGACACUGUUUUUGUGAACUUUGGUUAAACGUACAUGUAUUGUAAGUUAUUGGUUAUAUCAAUUUAUUUGUCUAUAAAUAAUUGUAAAUAAAUUGGUAAAUCUUUGAAUUCUUUGUGCAGAGAUUAAAAGUGUAUUCUGAUUCAUCACGAAAUUGUGGGCUCGUCCGGGAUAAAGAGUUAUUGUAUUUUUCAAGAUAUGUAUCUAUUUCAUUUGUUGGAUUCCAUAAUCAACAUAAAUGAGGCAUAUAGGGUUGACGACGUGUGUGACCGGUCGUCAAGGGAUGC
Ostrea edulis (European flat oyster) is the source of this 1565-nucleotide long non-coding RNA. RefSeq lists it as uncharacterized. NCBI's taxonomy places the organism in Eukaryota, Metazoa, Mollusca, Bivalvia, Ostreida, Ostreidae. The record is from RefSeq and is a predicted model, not a curated record. The transcript is spliced from 3 exons.